Molecule: ribosomal RNA, 2108 nt
Filed under: bacterium UBP11_UBA4055
Lineage: Bacteria
Description: bacterial LSU rRNA
Rfam family: Bacterial large subunit ribosomal RNA
Source: RNAcentral
GGAAGAAAAGUAAGGGCAAACGGCGGAUGCCUUGGCGCAAUGCAGCGAAGAAGGGCGCGGUAAGCUGCGAAAAUCUUCGGCGAGGAGCACACAUCCUCAGACCCGGAGGUACCCGAAUGGGGCAACCCGGCACCGGUAAUGCGGUGUCAUCUCUAAGGAGAGGCGCACGCGGGGAACUGAACCAUCUAAUUACCCGCAGGAAGAGAAAAUAAACAUAAUGAUUCCCGAAGUAGCGGCGAGCGAACCGGGAAGAGCCUAAAACAUAUGAAUGUAAUAGCUUACAGGCGUUAUUCAUAUGUGGUAGUGGGAUCGUAUGGGUGUUGCUGUAAAAACACCGGACUUAAGUUAACAACAUAGCCGAAUCAGGUGGGAAACUGAACCAUAGUGGGUGAGAGUCCUUUAGGCGAAAUGUAGUUAACGGUCUUUUACGACACCCGAGUAAGGCGGAUCACGAGGAAUUCUGUCUGAAUCCGGCUGGACCAUCAGCUAAGGCUAAAUAUGUAUUGCGACCGAUAGUGCAACAGUACCGUGAGGGAAAGGUGAAAAGAACCCUUGACAGGGAGUGAAAUAGAACCUGAAACCGUUUGUCUACAAGCAGUCGGAGUCUCUUUAUGGGACGACGGCGUGCCUUUUGCAUAAUGAGCCAGCGAGUUGUCGUUAGUUGCAAGGUUAAGCGGCGUAACCGCGGAGCCGAAGCGAAAGCGAGUCUGAAAAGGGCGUAUAGUAACUGAUGGCAGACCCGAAACCAGAUGAUCUAUCCAUGUCCAGGUUGAAGGUACUGUAAAAGGUACUGGAGGACCGAACCAGGUGAAGUUAAAAAUUCAUUGGAUGAGGUGUGGAUAGGGGUGAAAGGCUAAUCAAAUCUGGAGAUAGCUGGUUCUCCCCGAAAUAGCUUUAGGGCUAGCCUUGUGUAAAAUUAAGCGGGGGGUAGAGCACUGUCAAGACGAGGGCAGCAACCACUGUACCAACUCUUAGCAAACUGCGAAUACCCGACUUAAGUUUCACGGGAGUCAGCGCACGGGUGACAAGAUUCGUGCACAAAAGGGAAAGAACCCGGACCCACAGCUAAGGACCCGAAGUAAGUGUUAAGUGAAUAAGGAUGUAAGAUUGCACAGACAACCAGGAUGUUGGCUUAGAAGCAGCCAUCAUUUAAAGAGUGCGUAAUAGCCCACUGGUCAAGGAAUUUUGCGCCGAUAAUUCUCGGGACUAAACACUUCUCCGAAGCUUGGGACGCACACUUAGAGUGUGUUGUGGUAGGGGAGCGUUCUGUAAGCCGGUGAAGGUGUACCGCGAGGUAUGCUGGAGGUAUCAGAAAUGAGGAUGCUGGCAUGAGUAACGAUAAGCGGAGUUUAGAAUCUCCGCCACCGAAAGUCUAAGGAUUCCUACGCAACGCUCAACGGCGUAGGGUUAGUCGGGCCUAAGGCGAGGCCGAAAGGCGUAGUCGAUGGACAACAGGUUAAUAUUCCUGUACCGGCCGUGUAGUGUUAUAAAGUGAAGGAGUGACGCAGAAGUGACAUCGGAUCCGGGUGAUGGAUUAUCCGGUUCAAGGUUGUAGUGAGGUACGGCAGGCAAAUCCGCUGUAUCAAUCAUGAAAGCUGAAUACGAGCCGCAAGGCGAAGUCCGAGUAAGCAUGCUGCCAAGAAAACCUUCGUCACGAAUUACACAGCCGCCCGUACCGCAAACCGACACAGGUAGACGAGAUGAGUAUUCUAAGGUGCUCGAGAGAACUGCAGCUAAGGAACUCGGCAAAAUAACCCCGUAACUUAGGGAGAAGGGGUGCCUACUCCAGCGAUGGAGAGGCCGCAGAGAAAUGGCGCAUGCGACUGUUUAGCAAAAACACAGGACUAUGCAAACACGCAAGUGGAGAUAUAUGGUCUGACACCUGCCCGGUGCCGGAAGGUUAAGGGAACUUGUUAGGAGCAAUCCAAAGCAUCGAACCGAAGCCCCGGUAAACGGCGGCCGUAACUAUAACGGUCCUAAGGUAGCGAAAUUCCUUGUCAGGUAAGUUCUGACCCGCACGAAAGGCGUAACGAUCUGGACACUGUCUCAACGAGGGACUCGGCGAAAUUGUAAUACCCGUGAAGAUGCGGGUUACCUGCGACAGGCCA